UCUAUUAAUUAUUUUAGGUAAAUAGGAAUAAUCUCAUUUGGGAAUUAUUAUAAGAGAAAUUCCUUCACUUUAGGCACAGACUUGAUCAUAGGACUCUCCUUAACAUUUCUAACAGAAACUGAAGAAGAACUUGUAGUAAACCAAUAUAAUAACUAAGCCUUGUGGAAGGCCUUCAAAUACUUUCUUAUAUGUAUCUAGAUAAUUGCAUCUAGAU
RNAcentral lists this long non-coding RNA (214 nucleotides) under Pan troglodytes (chimpanzee). RNAcentral describes it as "long non-coding RNA NONPTRT004314". Lineage: Eukaryota; Metazoa; Chordata; Mammalia; Primates; Hominidae. The record is from RNAcentral.